This 495-nucleotide ribosomal RNA is filed under the name uncultured bacterium. RNAcentral's name for it is "partial 16S ribosomal RNA". It matches the Rfam family "Bacterial small subunit ribosomal RNA", at positions 355 to 861 of the family's 1533-position model. The record is from RNAcentral.
UGGGGAAUAUUGCACAAUGGGCGAAAGCCUGAUGCAGCGACGCCGCGUGCGGGAUGAGGGCCUUCGGGUUGUAAACCGCUUUUAAUUGGGAGCAAGCGAGAGUGAGUGUACCUUUUGAAUAAGCACCGGCUAACUACGUGCCAGCAGCCGCGGUAAUACGUAGGGUGCAAGCGUUAUCCGGAAUUAUUGGGCGUAAAGAGCUCGUAGGCGGUUUGUCACGCCUGGUGUGAAAGUCCAUCGCUUAACGGUGGAUCUGCGCCGGGUACGGGCAGGCUAGAGUGCAGUAGGGGAGAUUGGAAUUCCCGGUGUAACGGUGGAAUGUGUAGAUAUCGGGAAGAACACCAAUGGCGAAGGCAGAUCUCUGGGCUGUUACUGACGCUGAGGAGCGAAAGCAUGGGGAGCGAACAGGAUUAGAUACCCUGGUAGUCCAUGCCGUAAACGGUGGAUGCUGGAUGUGGGGCCCUUCCACGGGCUCCGUGUCGGAGCUAACGCGUU